AUUGAACGCUGGCGGCAUGCCUUACACAUGCAAGUCGAACGGUAACAGGUCUUCGGAUGCUGACGAGUGGCGAACGGGUGAGUAAUACAUCGGAACGUGCCUAGUAGUGGGGGAUAACUACUCGAAAGAGUGGCUAAUACCGCAUGAGAUCUACGGAUGAAAGCAGGGGAUCGCAAGACCUUGUGCUACUAGAGCGGCCGAUGGCAGAUUAGGUAGGUGGUGGGAUAAGAGCUUACCAAGCCGACGAUCUGUAGCUGGUCUGAGAGGACGAUCAGCCACACUGGGACUGAGACACGGCCCAGACUCCUACGGGAGGCAGCAGUGGGGAAUUUUGGGCAAUGGGCGCAAGCCUGAUCCAGCAAUGCCGCGUGCAGGAUGAAGGCCUUCGGGUUGUAAACUGCUUUUGUACGGAACGAAAAGCCCCGGGUUAAUACCCUGGGGUCAUGACGGUACCGUAAGAAUAAGCACCGGCUAACUUCGUGCCAGCAGCCGCCGUAA
RNAcentral lists this ribosomal RNA (498 nucleotides) under uncultured bacterium. RNAcentral describes it as "partial 16S ribosomal RNA". It matches the Rfam family "Bacterial small subunit ribosomal RNA", at positions 30 to 523 of the family's 1533-position model. The record is from RNAcentral.